Molecule: ribosomal RNA, 489 nt
Filed under: uncultured bacterium
Lineage: Bacteria
Description: partial 16S ribosomal RNA
Rfam family: Bacterial small subunit ribosomal RNA
Source: RNAcentral
AUUGAACGCUGGCGGCAGGCCUAACACAUGCAAGUCGAACGGUAACAGGAAGAAGCUUGCUUCUUUGCUGACGAGUGGCGGACGGGUGAGUAAUGUCUGGGAAACUGCCUGAUGGAGGGGGAUAACUACUGGAAACGGUAGCUAAUACCGCAUAACGUCGCAAGACCAAAGAGGGGGACCUUCGGGCCUCUUGCCAUCGGAUGUGCCCAGAUGGGAUUAGCUAGUAGGUGGGGUAACGGCUCACCUAGGCGACGAUCCCUAGCUGGUCUGAGAGGAUGACCAGCCACACUGGAACUGAGACACGGUCCAGACUCCUACGGGAGGCAGCAGUGGGGAAUAUUGCUCAAUGGGCGCAAGCCUGAUGCAGCCAUGCCGCGUGUAUGAAGAAGGCCUUCGGGUUGUAAAGUACUUUCAGCGGGGAGGAAGGGAGUAAAGUUAAGACCUUUGCUCAUUGACGUUACCCGCAGAAGAAGCACCGGCGAACUCCGU